Molecule: long non-coding RNA, 264 nt
Filed under: Phoenix dactylifera (date palm)
Lineage: Eukaryota; Viridiplantae; Streptophyta; Magnoliopsida; Arecales; Arecaceae
Description: long non-coding RNA (PDAC_LNC009149)
Source: RNAcentral
CACGGAGGGUCGCCGGGAAGGCCUUGCAGAGGAGAGGAUCUGAUGCUCCGUGGAGGAGCAUAAGGGUCCUAAAACUCUCGACGUGAUCCCGCGGGUCCGCUGCCCCGUCAUAGGGCUCGAUCGCCGGCAUUUUGAACCCCGGCGGAUUUGGGGUCCGCAGGAUCCUCGAGGCAAGCGCCGGCUGGGAGGAGAUCUCCAAGUCGGCGAAGGGAUCUUUGGAGUGGCCCUUCAGGACCUGGAGUUGUCUGUGGAGAUCGUCCACCC